CCUACGGGAGGCAGCAGUAGGGAAUAUUGCUCAAUGGGGGAAACCCUGAAGCAGCAACGCCGCGUGGAGGAUGAAGGUUUUCGGAUUGUAAACUCCUUUUGUUAGAGAAGAUAAUGACGGUAUCUAACGAAUAAGCACCGGCGAACUCCGUGCCAGCAGCCGCGGUAAUACGGAGGGUGCAAGCGUUACUCGGAAUCACUGGGCGUAAAGAGCGCGUAGGCGGGAUAGCAAGUCAGAUGUGAAAUCCUAUGGCUUAACCAUAGAACUGCAUUUGAAACUGUUAUUCUAGAGUAUGGGAGAGGUAGGUGGAAUUCUUGGUGUAGGGGUAAAAUGCGUAGAGAUCAAGAGGAAUACUCAUGGCGAAGGCGACCUGCUAGAACAUAACUGACGCUGAUGCGCGAAAGCGUGGGGAGCAAACAGGAUUAGAUACCCCAGUAGUC
RNAcentral lists this ribosomal RNA (440 nucleotides) under uncultured bacterium. RNAcentral describes it as "partial 16S ribosomal RNA". It matches the Rfam family "Bacterial small subunit ribosomal RNA", at positions 338 to 795 of the family's 1533-position model. The record is from RNAcentral.